AACUUGCCGCCGGGCAUCCUGAAGAGUUGGGGUGGCCGCGGGCUCCGAGCCGGGGCGCCCGGCCGCCUUUCUUCCCCCUCCCUUUCGGUCGUGGGGGAGGGGGCUCGUGUCCCCCAUCCCGGGAGGCCCGGUCCGCCCCCGCCCGCUCUCGCCCCCGCGGAGCCGGGCAACUCAUCGGGAGCCUGGGCCAAAGUGAGCGCAAAGUGCUGCCCAAGUUGCCGGGAUGGAGCUGCAGAGCCGGCCGGAGGCGCUCGCCGUGGAACUCGCGCGCCACCAGAACGGCGACCUCCAGAAGCAGUUCCACGAGAGGCAGCCGCGGAUCGCCGCGCUCAGCGACAAACAAGCUCUGGGAUCCAUCACUGCAGUGCCUGUCCCGGGGCCUCAGGUCAGCUCCCUGCAGAGGUUGGCCGGGCAAGGAGUGGCAGUGCUACCUCAGGUUAGGCCAAAGACUCUGAUUCCAGACAGCCUGCCCGUCACCCCCGGCCGGGACCGGCCACCCAAGCAGCCCCCAACCUUCCAGAAGGCCGCCGUGGUCAGCAUCAAGAACCCCAGCCCAGCCCUCCCCACCGCCAACAACACCGUGAGCCAUGCGCCAGCGCCCGGCAGCCAGCCCCAGGCCCUCGCCGAGCCGGCCGCCAUCACCUCUCCUCUGAGCAGCGCCGGGGUGGCCUACGCCAUCAUCUCCACGGCCCCCAGCAAUGCCGCCGCCAUCGCCCCCAGCGCCGCCGUGUCCGUGGUCAGCGACAGCGUCACAGUGCAGCCGCUCCUCUUCAGCGCCGACAACAAGGUCAUCAUCAUUCAGCCUCAGGUGCAGACACAACCCGAGAGCAAGGCCGAGUCGCGGCCGCCCACGGAGGAGCCGUCUCAGGGAGCUCAGGCCACCAACAGGAAGGAAGACCGGCCCCCGAGCCAGGAGAACCCCGAGAAAAUCGCCUUCAUGGUAGCGCUAGGCCUGGUUACCACGGAGCACCUGGAAGAAAUCCAGAGCAAGCGCCAGGAGCGGAAGCGGAGAAGCACCGCCAACCCCGCCUACAGCGGCCUCCUGGAGACCGAGAGGAAGCGGCUGGCGUCCAGCUACCUGAACAGCCCCCUGUUCCUCACGGCACGAGCCAAUGAGGACCCCUGCUGGAAGAGCGAGAUCGCCCACGAUGAGCACUGCGCGGCCUGCAAGAGAGGGGCCAACCUGCAGCCCUGCGGCUCCUGCCCGGGGGCCUACCACCUCGGCUGCCUGGACCCGCCCCUCAAGACAGCGCCCAAGGGCGUGUGGGUGUGCCCCAAGUGCCAGCAGAAGGCCUUAAAGAAAGACGAGAGUGUGCCCUGGACCGGGAUGCUGGCCAUCGUGCGCUCCUACGUCACCCACAAGACAGUCAAAGAAGAGGAGAAGCAGAAGCUGCUGCAGAGGGGCAGCGAGCUGCAGAGCGGGCGCCAGCAGCUGGAGGAGCGGGACCGGCGCCUGGCCUCGGCCGUGAAGAAACGCCUGGAGCUGAAGAUGAGCCUGCUGGCCCGGCAGAGGGGCGCCCAGUCAUCCUUGGACCGCCUGCGGGCCCUCCUGAGACUGAUGCAGGGCGAGCAGGUGCUCCAGGUCACCAUGACGACCACCAGCCCCGCCCCGCUGCUGGCCGGGCCCUGGACCAAGCCCUCAGCAGCAGCCAUGCACGCUGCCCUCCAGCACCCCCAGGGACACAACUGACCCCGAGGGCCCCGUCUUCACACCCACGGAGAGUCACUGGGACCCUGCCCACAAGACUGGGGGUUCUGUCAGCCUUAACUCAUGAACAAGGGGGUGCUGCUGUGUCCCCUGCCAGUGCCACUGCCCCAGGCCCGGCGCCCCGAGUCCCUAUGCGCCCUCGCCUGCGCCGCCCUCUCCCGGAGUUUCUGGGCGCGGGAGGCAUUGCGCGUUUCCCAUUUGGGGCCGGAUCAUUCCACGUCCGCGGAAGCCUUUUAUUUCCUCCUUCCGAAGAGCCGACGAAGUAUUCCACGCCUGGCUUCUUGCCAGAACGGACACUAUGCCAAAAAGUAACUGCGUUUUUGUGUGGCGUUUUUAUUGGGAGAUGUUUAAUGUGAAGGGGCGCCCGGAGUCUUCCUCUGCUCUCAGCGGCCUCCG
Molecule: RNA transcript, 2104 nt
Organism: Eptesicus fuscus (big brown bat)
Lineage: Eukaryota; Metazoa; Chordata; Mammalia; Chiroptera; Vespertilionidae
Gene: PHF21B
Gene name: PHD finger protein 21B
Exons: 14
Source: RefSeq, a predicted model, not a curated record